CCUACGGGUGGCAGCAGUGAGGAAUAUUGGUCAAUGGACGAGAGUCUGAACCAGCCAAGUAGCGUGAAGGAUGACUGCCCUAUGGGUUGUAAACUUCUUUUAUAUGGGAAUAAAAUGUUCCACGUGUGGGAUUUUGUAUGUACCAUAUGAAUAAGGAUCGGCUAACUCCGUGCCAGCAGCCGCGGUAAUACGGAGGAUCCGAGCGUUAUCCGGAUUUAUUGGGUUUAAAGGGAGCGUAGGUGGAUUGUUAAGUCAGUUGUGAAAGUUUGCGGCUCAACCGUAAAAUUGCAGUUGAAACUGGCAGUCUUGAGUACAGUAGAGGUGGGCGGAAUCCGUGGUGUAGCGGUGAAAUGCUUAGAUAUCACGAAGAACUCCGAUUGCGAAGGCAGUUCACUGGACUGCAACUGACACUGAGGCUCGAAAGUGUGGGUAUCAAACAGGAUUAGAUACCCUUGUAGUC
Molecule: ribosomal RNA, 460 nt
Filed under: uncultured bacterium
Lineage: Bacteria
Description: partial 16S ribosomal RNA
Rfam family: Bacterial small subunit ribosomal RNA
Source: RNAcentral